UCAUUCCAAAAUCCAAAUCCUGCCCUUUACACUAAAUCCAGUUAAAGUUUGUCCAUAAAGUUUUGAGGUUAAACGAGAACAUGAACCUAACCUGGAGGUUAUUUUGGGGCUGUGACCUCCAGCAGAGGACCAGAACUGGUCCUGGUCCUGGUCCUGGUCCUGGUCCUGGUCCUGGAUGUGAUGCUUCAAGCUCAUGAUGAGUUUUUGGAGGUAAAAAUUUUCACCUAAAGAUUUGGAACCAGAACCCAGACCGGAUUCCAGAAACAGGAAGUUCCUUCUUCCUGAUGUCCUGCUGGAAAACAUUCCAGUGAUUAGACGGAGCCGAUCUCAGCUCAUGAUUUCAGUGUUUUUUAUUUUCUCUUUGUCUCUAUAAAUGCCUUUAAAAAAUGUUUUGAUGGUGGAAAAAGAGAAUUUUCUGAAUCUUGCUGUUGUUCUGCUGUUGAUAUCUGGGAGCAGCUGAAACCCGUAAUGACCCGUUCUUGGAUAUUUCUCCGUGUUUAUGAUUCCGGGUUGUGUUUGAUGUUUGCUUGAUGCAAGAA
This is a long non-coding RNA of Thalassophryne amazonica, 539 nucleotides long. RefSeq lists it as uncharacterized. The transcript has 2 exons. The record is from RefSeq and is a predicted model, not a curated record. NCBI's taxonomy places the organism in Eukaryota, Metazoa, Chordata, Actinopteri, Batrachoidiformes, Batrachoididae.